GCUAUUAAAUUAUGGCCGUAUUUGUAAAAUGUUACCACAAGUAAUAUAUGUAUUUUAAUUUAUUUUAUUCAAAAUCGUUAUUUAACAACACAUUUAAUAAUAAAUCAGUUAUGGUUCCUUAGAUCGUUAACAGUUACUUGGAUAACUGUGGUAAAUCUAGAGCUAAUAUAUGCAAUUAAAACACGGACCUUCUGGGACGUGUGUUUUUAUUAGACUAAAAGCAAGCGAUCAAUUGAUCGUUAUAUUGGUUGAACUGUAGAUAACAUGCAGAUCGUAUGGUCUUGUACCGACGACAGAUCUUUCAAAUGUCUGCCCUAUCAACUUUUGAUGAUAGUAUCUAGGACUACCAUGGUUGCAAUGGGUAACGGGGAAUCAGGGUUCGAUUUCGGAGAGGGAGCCUGAGAAGCGGCUACCACAUCUAAGGAAGGCAGCAGGCGCGUAAAUUACCCACUCCCAGCUCGGGGAGGUAGUGACGAAAAAUAACAAUACAGGACUCAUAUCCGAGGCCCUGUAAUUGGAAUGAGUACACUUUAAAUCCUUUAACAAGGACCAAGUUGAGGGCAAGUCUGGUGCCAGCAGCCGCGGUAAUUCCAGCUCCAAUAGCUUAUAUUAAAGUUGUUGCGGUUAAAACGUUCGUAGUUGAACUUGUGCUUCAUACGGGUAGUACAACAUACAUUUGUAGUGAGUACUAUACCUUUAUGUAUGUAAGCGUAUUAUGGGUGGAGUUCUUAUAUGUAAUUAAGUACUUGUACUUUUAAAUAUAUUCCUCCUAUUUAAAAACCUACAUUAGUGCUCUUAAUCGAGUGUUUUUGUGGCCAGGUACAAUUACUUUGAACAAAUUAGAGUGCUUAAAGCAGGCUUCAAAUGCCAGAAUAUUCUGUGCAUGGGAUAAUGAAAUAAGACCUCUGUUCUGCUUUCAUUGGAUUUCAGAUCAAGAGGUAAUGAUUAAUAGAAGCAGUUUGGGGGCAUUAGUAUUACGACGCGAGAGGUGAAAUUCUUGUACCGUCGUAAGACUAACUUAAGCGAAAGCAUUUGCCAAAGAUGUUUUCAUUAAUCAAGAACGAAAGUUAGAGGUUCGAAGGCGAUCAGAUACCGCCCUAGUUCUAACCAUAAACGAUGCCAGCUAGCAAUUGGGUGUAGCUACUUUUAUGGCUCUCUCAGUCGCUUCCCGGGAAACCAAAGCUUUUGGGCUCCGGGGGAAGUAUGGUUGCAAAGCUGAAACUUAAAGGAAUUGACGAAAGGGCACCACCAGGAGUGGAGCCUGCGGCUUAAUUUGACUCAACACGGGAAAA
Molecule: ribosomal RNA, 1292 nt
Filed under: Drosophila willistoni
Lineage: Eukaryota; Metazoa; Arthropoda; Insecta; Diptera; Drosophilidae
Description: SSU rRNA
Rfam family: Eukaryotic small subunit ribosomal RNA
Source: RNAcentral